Molecule: ribosomal RNA, 504 nt
Filed under: uncultured bacterium
Lineage: Bacteria
Description: partial 16S ribosomal RNA
Rfam family: Bacterial small subunit ribosomal RNA
Source: RNAcentral
AUUGAACGCUGGCGGCAGGCCUAACACAUGCAAGUCGAGCGGUAACACAGGGAGCUUGCUCCCGGGUGACGAGCGGCGGACGGGUGAGUAAUGUCUGGGAAACUGCCUGAUGGAGGGGGAUAACUACUGGAAACGGUAGCUAAUACCGCAUAAUGUCGCAAGACCAAAGAGGGGGACCUUCGGGCCUCUUGCCAUCAGAUGUGCCCAGAUGGGAUUAGCUAGUAGGUGGGGUAACGGCUCACCUAGGCGACGAUCCCUAGCUGGUCUGAGAGGAUGACCAGCCACACUGGAACUGAGACACGGUCCAGACUCCUACGGGAGGCAGCAGUGGGGAAUAUUGCACAAUGGGCGCAAGCCUGAUGCAGCCAUGCCGCGUGUAUGAAGAAGGCCUUCGGGUUGUAAAGUACUUUCAGCGGGGAGGAAGGUGCUGAGGUUAAUAACCUCAGCAAUUGACGUUACCCGCAGAAGAAGCACCGGCUAACUCCGUGCCAGCCGCCGCCGCCG